Non-coding RNA from Microcebus murinus (gray mouse lemur), 3888 nucleotides. The record is from RefSeq and is a predicted model, not a curated record. NCBI's taxonomy places the organism in Eukaryota, Metazoa, Chordata, Mammalia, Primates, Cheirogaleidae.
UGAUUUUUCUGUUUGUUUGUUUGUUUGUUUUUGUAGAGAAGGGGUCUGGUUCUUGCUCAGGCUAGUGGAUCAAGUAUUUAUCUGGUAUCGAAGUAAGUAACUGAGUUGGUGGUGUGGCCUAAAGAUUAGGCAUGCCCAUCAUGUUAUGAACAGUAUUUUCCAAGGGGGUGGGAUAGACCCAACUGCAGUGGGGAGGAUGAGAGCCAGCAUGGCUGGGCAGUCUGGUGGCAGGAGGUGGCAUUGUGUGGCUGUCCAUCAGUCAUGGAGAAUUCUGGUAGGAGAAGGCAGAGCCCAGACAGGGACUAGCAUUCAGGAACAUCUGAGUGAUGUCUGGAAAUCAAGGUCUGUUGUUCUGCCCUUUGGAAACCUCCCGCUGUAGACAGGCCUUUUUCUCCAGUUCUGUGCGGGGAUGAACUUGCAGAUAACACUUCACCUUUAUGGCAGAGAAACAAGGUUUUGCCUGUGUCUUCUCAGGUGCUGUUUGCUUGGGAAGCUGGCUUCCUAAGGGACAUUCCAGGAGAUCCCCUGCUGCGCUAUCCUGGGAGCCUCCUGGAGGCCUAGGGGACAAACUUUGGCUCUCACAUCUUUGAAAUUCACACAGUUUGCCAGAAUUUAAGCUUUUAUUUCCACUCCAGGUCCAGUGAUCUAGUGUCGCCAUCACAGAUUCUAAAUAUGGCUCCAGAUAUAUAUGAUUACAAUGCAAAACACAUACGAAUAUCAUGCUAGUCAAGGAAAUGUAGGGUUUUUCUGAAGGAUAAAAAGGAGAUAAAUCAUCCACAGGAAGGAGGCUGGGGACCUGGUAAUACCCUGAGGUGCACAGUUUAAUUGAUCAUAAAAGCAUGUUUCCAUCCUCCUCAGCCGUGGGUGUCUGCAGGUAUCCACUCUCUGCGUCCAAUUCUGAAUACUGUUGAUUCCCUUCAUAAACUACCAGGGAAGCCUCCAUUCCAGGGACAGGGUAUUGAUCUACUUUAAUAUAAUUAUUCUGCCUACGAUGAUCUAUACCAGUUCUAAUUUUACUUUAUAUUUGCCGCACCUCCGUGACAGGGGAUAGGUACAUAGGGCUUCUGAGACACAGAUAUAAAGCUAUUGACUAAAACUUAUUCAAUAUCAUCUCUAAAAUCAUUAAUCCAUGACAGAGGCAUCCUUCUUGAAAAGUUCUAGGAUCUUGCAAAACUGGAUCAAGCUGCUCCUCUUUCCUGCAGCUCCCUUCACACUCAGUUAUACAUGUAGCCCUUCACACCUAGCCAGUGGUGUGCUGGUAAAUGUUUAACAACGGGCUCGCUGGGAGAAAAACCAAACCAAACCAACAAAAGUCCGUCAUUUAUAGCUCUUGCCAGUUUCUGUGGUGUAAACCCUCUUGCCACAGCUGAUUUCAAGCUACCAAUGCGGCAUCAUGGUACAUGGAGUUGGGGAGAGAUUCUCACAAUUGGCUCUUGCAGGAAGAUGAGAGCUGGCUCCAGAACGCCACUGCUCCUAGUCCAAAAGCUUCGCUUUUAACCUCUGCUUUCCUGCUUCAAGUGCUGGAAAACUUUUGAAUUUGACGUGAUUCAAACUCGAUUUCCCCAGGUUCAACUCUGGGGAACCUAUCAGCUGGAAUGGAUCUGCUGUUAUUCCGUGGUUGCAUAUGGGCAUGCAAUAUUAUACAGCAGGAACUUAGCUAAAAACAUUUCCUCAGCUACUGUCAACAACAUGAGUCUGGUGUCAGUCCCAAUUAUUUUUCCUAGUCAAUUCCAGUGGUUCUCAAUUAAGGGUGAUUUUGCCACUUGGAAAACAUUUAGCAAUGUCUGGAGACAGUUUGUCACAACUGGGGAGGUGGUGCAGUGGCAUCCAAUGAGUAGACCAGGCUCUAAUGCCAGGCUGAGUCCCCAAGUUGGUUCAUCUGGCCAUCCUGUGCUCACUGUGUCCAUAUCUGAAAGAAAUUUGGAGAAGGCUUGCCAAAGUAUGCCUACUACCUUUAGAGCAGCACCCAACAUUUCAACAGGGUAUAUCCCAGUCCAGUGUAGUCUCAGCACCUUUUUCGUAUCUGAUAAAUUUCCAUAGCUUACUUUGUGCUAUCUACCACUUGGAUAAACUGCAUUAGAAGUUCCUGAGAUUCCUUAGGCCAUUCAGAAAACGUAGAGAUGUAUUGCACUUCUUGGCUAUAAAUGCCUCCUGAUUUCAUUUAGUAAUUUUCCUAACCUGAGCAUUUAAAUGUCUGGUCUUGCUUCUCUGUUCUGCAAAGUCUCCAUAAUCUAGGAGGCAAGUGCCACACUCUCCUGUGGUCUUUCGCUCACUCAAGACUGACAGCAAGGAUCUACACCAUUUAAAUGACAUUUGUGGAUUAAAUAUUAUUUUACUUUGAAAUAAGUGACUAGGUUCUUCUGGGUUUUCAGGAAUCUCUUUUAUUUUCCAAUCUGAAGAUAGUGCCUAGUUUAUAGCAGAACGUCUACACACCAAUCAGAGCAAAGUAGGAGGGUGGGCCAAAGACGUAGGCACAACACCCAAUUAAAUGGUCCCAUCUUUUCCGACCUGUUCCUUAUUGUUAAUACUCAGCAUUCCUAUGAUUUCUGUGUAUUAAGUCUUCUCUCUUAGACAUCCACAACUGUGAGCUGCUGCCGUACACCAGGAGAUUCACUUUAUGGCAGGUGAGCUGGGCCGUGUUUUUGAAUAUUUUGGGGGUUUUUAUCUCAUGGGCAAAAGUAGUUUUGACUUCAUGGAAUCCCUAAAAUGAUCUCUAGGAUCUCUGUGAUCAAUUUGGGAACUACUGGUCCAACUCAAUUACGUCAGUCAUAUUUAUCUUUCCAGAGAUUGGUACAAUUUAGGCCAAUGAGGUGUGAGGAAAGUUUUGCUGGAGGCUCCUGAGUGAAAGAAGUUUCUUCACACCUACAAAGAGCCAUAAGGAGUCAAUCUCCUCUCCCUGCCACAGGUGAACCAACCACUAUACAGCCUUAUUUGCUUCCCAUAGCCAUCUGUGGCCUGGGGGAAACCAGUUUCAAACUGACUUUAACUCCCUGUGUGGCAGAGGAGAGAAGACACCUCAGUCCUUGAGGAUGCCAUGUGAUUCCUGGUUGGAUCUGUAUGGAAGCCCUCUCCACCUCUGAACUGGUACAAAUUUGAGACACUAUCUCAAAUAACUAGAGUGGCUUUAGUUGGAUUUUUCUCUUACAUCCUGCCAAAUGCAUGGACAAUGACAUAUGUUUUUGUAAAACUUGUAUUUUUGUAGAUUUCCAGUAGAUGACAGAGUGAGUUCCCAUAACCCUUCCUGUCUCUUGUGCAAGCAUCGAACAAUUAAGAUAAAAGAUAAAAAAGUUAACAGAACUGAUAAAUGUCUUUAUAGACUAGAAACAGAAAGUGAACUUUCUGUUCACUUAUAGAUAAACAUAAUGGAAAAAUGGAUAAAUCUCCCCACGGCAUAGAAACACCAAUGGGGAAUGGUUCUAAGGCUAAAGGCUUACUGGAUUUUGGGAAUGGAAAAACUCCUUGCCGUCACUUUCUAGUGACGGCAAGGAGUUUAACUCUUGUGAGAAAUAGGAAUAAAUACAGCAGAGCCAGAUACCUCGUGAAAUGGUGGUAGGGUGGUAGAGUUGGGUGUGGCCCUCAAGACAAAUUAAAGGCUGAAAAAUUUUCAAACGCUUUCAGAAGCUGAAACUGCUAGAGAACUUUUACCAAGGGUGGCUGGAUUGAACAGAAAUAACUGCAUCUCCAGGAAACAGACCAAGCCUGGUAAUGGCUUCAAGCCAUUCAUCUUUGAUGUCCUAUUUCAGGAUUUAAGAUUCUGAGAUCUUGGGCCACUGCUGGCUUGUGUUUAGGCACCUACAAUUCCAUGAAAUAGGUAAGGGUGAACAUAGAAGAUUCUUUCAUUAGAAAACUCCCACUCAAUGUGAAUUUUCAUAUAAAACUUUCAAAGCA